Molecule: transfer RNA, 59 nt
Filed under: Marmota marmota marmota (Alpine marmot)
Lineage: Eukaryota; Metazoa; Chordata; Mammalia; Rodentia; Sciuridae
Also listed under: 4 other names
Rfam family: tRNA
About the family: Transfer RNA (tRNA) molecules are approximately 80 nucleotides in length. Their secondary structure includes four short double-helical elements and three loops (D, anti-codon, and T loops). Further hydrogen bonds mediate the characteristic L-shaped molecular structure. tRNAs have two regions of fundamental functional importance: the anti-codon, which is responsible for specific mRNA codon recognition, and the 3' end, to which the tRNAs corresponding amino acid is attached (by aminoacyl-tRNA synthetases). tRNAs cope with the degeneracy of the genetic code in two manners: having more than one tRNA (with a specific anti-codon) for a particular amino acid; and 'wobble' base-pairing, i.e. permitting non-standard base-pairing at the 3rd anti-codon position.
Source: Rfam by way of RNAcentral
GUGGCUCAGUGGUAGAGCACUUGCCUAGCAUGUAUGAGGCACUGGGUUCGAUUCUCAGC